CAGCUCUCCGAGUGGUAGGGAUGAUUAUUGGGCUUAAAGCGUCCGUAGCCUGCUUAGCAAGUCUCCUGUUAAAUUCAGCGACCUAAUCGUUGAGCCGCGGGAGAUACUACUAGGCUAGGAGGCGGGAGAGGUCGACGGUACUUCUGGGGUAGGGGUGAAAUCCUAUAAUCCCAGGAGGACCACCAGUGGCGAAGGCUGUCGACUAGAACGCGCUCGACGGUGAGGGACGAAAGCUGAGGGAGCGAACCGGAUUAGAUACCCGAGUAGUCC
This 270-nucleotide ribosomal RNA is filed under the name uncultured archaeon. RNAcentral's name for it is "partial 16S ribosomal RNA". It matches the Rfam family "Archaeal small subunit ribosomal RNA", at positions 477 to 747 of the family's 1478-position model. The record is from RNAcentral.